RNAcentral lists this ribosomal RNA (461 nucleotides) under uncultured bacterium. RNAcentral's name for it is "partial 16S ribosomal RNA". It matches the Rfam family "Bacterial small subunit ribosomal RNA", at positions 29 to 507 of the family's 1533-position model. The record is from RNAcentral.
ACGCACGCUGGCGGCGUGCUUCACCCAUGCAAGUCGCGCGGUAAGGCCUUUCGGGGUACACGAGCGGCGAACGGGUGAGUAACACGUGGGUGAUCUGCCCUGCACUUCGGGAUAAGCCUGGGAAACUGGGUCUAAUACCGGAUAUGACCUCCUAUCGCAUGGUGGGUGGUGGAAAGAUUUAUCGGUGCAGGAUGGGCCCGCGGCCUAUCAGCUUGUUGGUGGGGUAAUGGCCUACCAAGGCGACGACGGGUAGCCGACCUGAGAGGGUGACCGGCCACACUGGGACUGAGACACGGCCCAGACUCCUACGGGAGGCAGCAGUGGGGAAUAUUGCACAAUGGGCGAAAGCCUGAUGCAGCGACGCCGCGUGAGGGAUGACGGCCUUCGGGUUGUAAACCUCUUUCAGCAGGGACGAAGCGUAAGUGACGGUACCUGCAGAAGAAGCACCGGCUAACUACGUG